GUCGAGCGACAGAAAGGAGCUUGCUCCUUUGACGUUAGCGGCGGACGGGUGAGAAACACGUGGGCAACCUACCCUAUAGUUUGGGAUAACUCCGGGAAACCGGGGCUAAUACCGAAUAAUCUCUUUUACUUCAUGGUGAAAGACUGAAAGACGGUUUCGGCUGUCGCUAUAGGAUGGGCCCGCGGCGCAUUAGCUAGUUGGUGAGGUAACGGCUCACCAAGGCGACGAUGCGUAGCCGACCUGAGAGGGUGAUCGGCCACACUGGGACUGAGACACGGCCCAGACUCCUACGGGAGGCAGCAGUAGGGAAUCUUCCACAAUGGGCGAAAGCCUGAUGGAGCAACGCCGCGUGAGUGAAGAAGGUUUUCGGAUCGUAAAACUCUGUUGUAAGGGAAGAACAAGUACAGUAGUAACUGGCUGUACCUUGACGGUACCUUAUUAGAAAG
Molecule: ribosomal RNA, 446 nt
Rfam family: Bacterial small subunit ribosomal RNA